GCGCCUAUAGCUCAGUUGGUAGAGCAGUUGUCUCUUAAGCAAACGGUCCCAGGUUCGAGUCCUGGUGGGCGCACUA
This 76-nucleotide transfer RNA is filed under the name Candidatus Buchananbacteria bacterium RIFCSPHIGHO2_01_FULL_40_35. RNAcentral describes it as "tRNA-Lys". It matches the Rfam family "tRNA". From Rfam's summary of the family: Transfer RNA (tRNA) molecules are approximately 80 nucleotides in length. Their secondary structure includes four short double-helical elements and three loops (D, anti-codon, and T loops). Further hydrogen bonds mediate the characteristic L-shaped molecular structure. tRNAs have two regions of fundamental functional importance: the anti-codon, which is responsible for specific mRNA codon recognition, and the 3' end, to which the tRNAs corresponding amino acid is attached (by aminoacyl-tRNA synthetases). tRNAs cope with the degeneracy of the genetic code in two manners: having more than one tRNA (with a specific anti-codon) for a particular amino acid; and 'wobble' base-pairing, i.e. permitting non-standard base-pairing at the 3rd anti-codon position. Lineage: Bacteria; Candidatus Buchananiibacteriota. The record is from RNAcentral. RNAcentral also lists the same sequence under 2 other names.